RNAcentral lists this long non-coding RNA (1234 nucleotides) under Olea europaea (common olive). Its description in RNAcentral is "long non-coding RNA (OEUR_LNC006848)". The record is from RNAcentral. Lineage: Eukaryota; Viridiplantae; Streptophyta; Magnoliopsida; Lamiales; Oleaceae.
AUGUGAGAGGUUGUACACCAUUCGAUACAUCAAAUUAUAUACCCCUAGCAAAACUCAUGAAUUAUAUGCUAAUUUCUUUUAUUUAUAGAUGGUACAGAAGUUGUCAACUAGUGUGUCAACCUUAGAGGAAAAAAUGAAGGUGCUUAAGGAGAUUGAUUCAGAGUACAACAUUGAUAUGUUAAUUAGAAUGAUAUUGUGAUUCAACUUCAUUGUGAGGGAGUCUCUUCAUUUAAAUAGAUGCCAUCCAACCAAUUACAAGGCUGAAAAUCGGGCAUUAUUUGUAGUAUCAAUACAUGUUCCGAAGCAAUUAAAACCUACCAAAACUACAGCUAAUUUACAAUAUUUUUCCCAAGUAAUAUUGCAAAUCAGUUACCUAAAUAGGCUCGUACAAUUGACAUGAUAUACAAAUUGGAUAGCUUGCUUCAGUCCUUCCAGUGGUAUGGAUAUUAUUUUGACAACAUUUGUGUUUGCUGGACAACCUAAUACAAAUUUGGAAUGAUCAACGUACUCUGAAACAAAUAAUUCGACAUGGCUGAUAGUGCUUAUUAGGUCAAUUCAGUUUUCGAAAGCACAAGUGUAGAAUAUGAUUAGGUGCCACAAAAUUCAACAUUGUAAACAUUUAUUGAUGGCUUGGUUAUGCUAUUUUAGGUAAAUGUAGAAUCAGGUACAGAAAAUCAGCGAAAGCCAUCAGCAAUAUCCAUAUCAGGAGUCUCUAGUCAAGAAGAAAACAAGCUAACGCAGCCAGAAGAUAUAGAAGCGGUUGAAAUUGGGCCUCUUUAUUUAUUUAUUUUUUUUUUUGUGAGGCCCCUUGAAAUGUAAGACCCAAGGCAGUGGCCUAGUCUGCCUUGGGACAGGGCCGACCUUGAACAAGAAAUAGAAACAAUAAAUAUAAAUAGUAAUGCGACUUGAUACUCCUAAUACGAAUAAACACAAGGGUAAUUUACAUUAUAGGGGAAAAAAAUAAGGGGUGUACUAAAAUAUUUAUUAUUGUUAAAUAUUGCAAACUUCAAAUAUAAAUUUGACGUUUAGGUAAAAAUAAGGUUAAAUUACACGUCUUUAUCAAAGUACCUUGUCAAAAUCACACAUGCAAGUUUCCAUGCAUACAACUCGUCCGUGAUUUUUGUGGCGUUGCCUAUAUUCAACAUGGGAUAAGAGGAACAAACUGUACAUUUUCAAGUUCCGAGUAUUGCCCGAGUGUAGUAGACAUCGCUCACCCAAGAAAGCUCUUGUCGGG